This is a long non-coding RNA of Scylla paramamosain (green mud crab), 3323 nucleotides long. RefSeq lists it as uncharacterized. The transcript is spliced from 2 exons. The record is from RefSeq and is a predicted model, not a curated record. Lineage: Eukaryota; Metazoa; Arthropoda; Malacostraca; Decapoda; Portunidae.
CAGCCAGCCAGCCAGACAAACCCCACAGCAAACAGCACAACAUAACCGCAAUACCUUGAAAUAAUACAUCAGGUGGACACAUGCAGUACAAUACAGCAUCCUUCUAUCCCAUCCAACACUCACCCAGUCAGUAAACAACACUCCAGCACACACUGACACCCUCCCAUUGUGAUCUCCGUGACGCCAAUGCUGAUUAAACGGUUGUACUACUGAAUAGAAACUUAAUCACUUCCUACCUCCUGCUCCUUGUGUGUGUGGCCAGGUGAGGCGAGGAGGGAGGAGGGAGAGGACAGGUGAGCGGGAGGCAAGUUUAUCUCCACGAGGGAGGCUGGAUGAACACCUGCCUCGGUUAGAUAAAUGGGUGAUAGUGGGGGAAGGAGUGUUUGUAGAAGAGGAUGCACUAAGGAGGAGGAGGAGGAGGAGGAGGAGGAGGAGGAGGUUUUGAGUAUAUUUAUUUUAGCACAUCUUUUGAUCUCUUUUCUUAUUCCAGUAUUAAUAAAGACUUGCUACAUUUACCUUAUAAGUCUGCUGUCAUUUAUAACUUCUUUUAUCACGGAAAUGUUUUUAUAUGAAGUCUAUUAUUAUUAUUAUUAUUAUUAUUAUUAUUAUUAUUAUUAUUACUAUUACUAUUAUUAUCUUGACCUCAACCCACGACUAUAAUUUUAAGCUAUUCCUAGUGUGUGUGUGUGUGUGUGUGUGUGUGUGUGUGUGUGUGUGUGAUAUAGUGCCCCCACAGCCAGGCGUGUGGUCAAGCUGUGUCACCGAAGAGUAAUGACGCCGUGGUCUUGCCGCAGAAUAUAUAGCUGUGCCCCAUGGUCCGCCGAUGCAAUUCUCUCUCUCUCUCUCUCUCUCUCUCUCUCUCUCUCUCUCUCUCUCUCUCUCUCUCUCUCUCUCUCUCUCUCUCACGCGCGCGCACGCGCUGGUCUGGUCGAUGGAUAUUUGCUCGUGGUGAAGUGCGCGAUUAAUCAGCUGCAAAAUUAAUAAACCCUUCCAAAACGGAGCUUCGUGCAAUUAAACAGUAAUUUUUUUCUCGCUCUAACGUCACGACUACUAAACACGCCUGCACGGGUUGUGUGUAAUGGCGAGGGGCACGCCCGCCUACAGAGCUGCUGCAUCAUUACUCAAGCUAAUUACUUUGUUGCCGGGGCAUUAAUAAUGAUAAGCAUCAACUGUGAUAUUACAAGGAUUACUCCUUUCCGCAUGAAACCUAAUUGUCCAUUACAGUCAUGCAUCAGUUCAGACACAGGGAAGGAGGGAAGGGGAGGGAGGAAAGGGGCGGGAUGAAACAGGAGAGUAGGCUAGGGAGGGGGAGUGUUCAGCCGACGGGCCAGGUGGUGGCAACACGUGUGGUGAGCCUCUCAGCCCAUCGCCGGACCCACCCACCUUGCCGCACACCUGGCGAGCACCGGUCAUUGUUGGAUCUCAGGUGGUGAAAGAGAGAGAGAGAGAGAGAGAGAGAAAAAAAAUAAAGAAAAGUGAGAUGACGAGGGAGUGAGGCGCCGCCAAGCAACACGAACACAGACUGCCUCCACCUGUCACGUGUGAAAAUUAUUACCCGUAUCGCCUGCAACGAUAAUUUACUGGGUGCGGCCGGAUGCACACGGGUGACGAUGAUUUAGGUGUGGAUCGCGCGACGGCGAGGCGUGAAGGUGUAGCACUUGGCAUUAGUGCAGGCACGGAGCAAAGGGCACGGCACGGCACAGCCCGGCACCAAGCACUGCCGGUGACAGCACUAAUGCUGUCAUCAGUGUGGCCGCGUGCUGGCAUCCCACAGCAGCACCACUAGUGCAGGUGGGCGGCAAGCAUGACGGACACGCCCAUGUUAAAGAUGGAAACCAAACUACAUACUACUUCCGGACACCACUCCAGCCUUGCGUGAGCGGCGCGGCCUAGGGCGGCCUAUCCCUGACCCAAACCCUGGUGGCCUGGCCUAGGCCGCCCCGCCAGCCGCCGCCUCGCACCACCAUGUGAUCGCCUCCAUUCAGCACAACAAAGGCUGCGCCACGUCUGGAAGGUGAACGAAGGAACCCAUGGGAACGGCCCUCGCCGCGCGGCGCCGCUGUAACAUGGACAACCGACCACACCGGCCAGUUGUGACCGCAAACACAAUCCUGGCUGCAAUUACCUCAGGGCGGAGAGGGGUUCCAACAGUUUAGGACCUGAAUCAGAAGGGAGGCAGGGAGUGCGUGCCGAUGUAAACAAUAUGAAGAUGAAGCGACGAGCCAUACCGGACCGGUCUGGCGUGCCCGAAUAUAGACAGGGUAGCCACGGCGGCCGACGACACCGACAUCACUCCCACCGCGAGCACCUCCUGCGUCCCCGCCAGCCGCCAGCCUGCUAAUGACACUCGGCGACGCCACCCCUUAUACACCCACGCCCGCGCCGCCACGACACGACUAACAUCAUCUGAGAGAGAGAGAGAGAGAGAGAGAGAGAGAGAGAGAGAGAGAGAGAGAGAGAGAGAGAGAGAGAGAGAGAGAGAGAGAGAGAAAGCGUGUGUAGUACAUAAAUGGUGGUUAACGACACCAAACACUACUGGUAGCAGAAGACAAGGGCGAGACAGACAGACGGACGCCUCCCUGGUGGGGGUGGUGGCGUCAUUCCUGGAUCCAUUCCGGGCCCGCGCCGCCAACGAAGUGAUGUGAGGUAAAGCAGCACACUGACAGACAAAUUCGGCGAGGCUACAGGUGGUGGUGGUGGUGGUGGUGGUGGUGCCUUGGGGACUUGUUUGGUGGGCGAGCCGGGCACUUCACCCCUCCCCUCACAACACACAGGAGAAGGAGCCGGGCUGUUAUCGCGAUGCCAUUAACAUAACCAUGAAUGAUGACGCGGCCUAACCCACAGCCACUAAUCCUUUAAACGCUAACCACUACAUGAACCCCACCUGAUAAAAUUCAUAAUACCAGGUUUUUGGAAAUAUUUUUUUUUCUGGCCUAGUCACCACAACACUCUCUUGCGCAAAUAGAGUGAAGGCAAAAAAAUAGCCGGUAUAUGAAUACUAACGGGGUAAAAAGACCAGAGUAAAAACAGAAAAUGUUGAGUGGCGUGUUGCAUCAUUUUUUUUUUACCUGGCGCAGCGAAUCUGAACAGGUAUCAUAUUCUUUUAACAAGAUUUUUUUUUACAGCCAGCAACGUGGAUUUGAUAGCCGCUGUACGCACGCCCAUAAGCGACAAGGCUGCUGGUUUGUUGAGCAGACGUGAAAUAAACGUGUAUAUCAGUCUAGUAAAUCUCCUUUGGUGUAGGUAGUUAGUGGCUUUAAACUGACACACACACACACACACACACACACACACACACACACACACACACACACACACACACA